This 253-nucleotide ribosomal RNA is filed under the name uncultured bacterium. RNAcentral describes it as "partial 16S ribosomal RNA". It matches the Rfam family "Bacterial small subunit ribosomal RNA", at positions 524 to 776 of the family's 1533-position model. The record is from RNAcentral.
UACAGAGGUCUCAAGCGUUGUUCGGAUUCAUUGGGCGUAAAGGGUGCGUAGGCGGCGCGGUAAGUCGGAUGUGAAAUCUCGGAGCUUAACUUCGAAACUGCAUUCGAUACUGCCGUGCUUGAGGACUGGAGAGGAGACUGGAAUUUACGGUGUAGCGGUGAAAUGCGUAGAUAUCAUGAGGAAGACCAGUGGCGAAGGCGGGUCUCUGGACAGUUCCUGACACUGAGACACGAAGGCCAGGGGAGCAAACGGG